GUGCCAGCCGCCGCGGUAAUACAGGGGGGGCAAGCGUUGUUCGGAAUUAUUGGGCGUAAAGGGUUCGUAGGCGGUCGACUCAGUCAGACGUGAAAUCCCUCGGCUUAACCGGGGAACUGCGUCUGAUACUGGUUGGCUUGAGUGCAGGAGAGGAAUGCGGAAUUCCAGGUGUAGCGGUGAAAUGCGUAGAUAUCUGGAGGAACACCGGUGGCGAAAGCGGCUCACUGGAUCGAUACUGACGCUGAGGUGCGAAAGCUAGGGUAGCAAACGGGAUUAGAUACCCCCGUAGUCC
Molecule: ribosomal RNA, 292 nt
Filed under: uncultured bacterium
Lineage: Bacteria
Description: partial 16S ribosomal RNA
Rfam family: Bacterial small subunit ribosomal RNA
Source: RNAcentral